CACAAAUAUUUUACUAAUUGCACUUCCCUUUGUAAUUUUCUAUGUUUCGGUUGUACUUCCGCAUGCAAUAUGAUGGAUAAAUUUGGAAAUAGUUUAAAUAUAUUGUUGAUAUUAAUUUUCUGUAUCGUUUACCAUACAGACGCUCAGUGUGCGCCAACCCUUUUUGGAGUCGGUUGCAGAUUUGAGUGCCACUGCAAAAACAACGAAUCUUGCGAUGAUUUUAAUGGCAAAUGUCCUUCAGGAUGUGACAAAUAUUGGGCAGGACCAAGCUGUCAGUAUAGGAACAUCGCAGUUGAUGCUUUUAUUCGACAUUUAGAUGAAAUUUCCAAUUCAAGUCUUGCAGUAGAUGGGGAUAUAUCAACAUGCGCAGUCCCGAAAAACGACAAUACAAGAAGUACCAAACCAUUUUGGAGGAUCUGGCUGACAAACAAUCACACUAUAACAGAACUUGAAUUUGUAACUACUGAUACCUUUAAAGACCAUUUUACAGAGUUUAAAGUAACGGUUGAGUAUGUACCAAAGGACUUUGCAAAACUGGACAAUUAUGAUUCCUAUGGUUUGUAUAUACAACCAAUACAAGACAUUUGUUAUGAAAACAAGCGAAAGGUAUCGGACAAAGUCAUUAAUGUGGUAUGUAAUAGAGCUCUAACGGGGAAUCAAGUUCGAAUACAGCUAGAAAAACCUGGGACCCAGCUUGUGAUCUGCGACUUCAGGAUAUUUGAAGGGCGGAAUAUUGCUUACAGGCGACGGGCAAUACAGAGUUCUCAUAAUGCAGAAGGACAAUCUGCAUCUGCUGCUGUAGAUGGUAUUACACAAACAGGCAACAAGAAUGCUUGUAGUGUCACACAAAAAGAAAAGGAUCCGUGGUGGAGCGUUGACCUAGCACAUGUAAUGAAGAUCGAUCGGGUGCUCAUCACUCCAUUUGGAACAAAUGAUAUUGAUGGAUAUCACCUCUUUACCUCUAACGAUUCUUUAGCUUGGCUUGGUGUAAACAACGAUAAAGGACGAGGGCAGAACAGCAAGGCUGAUUUCACGGUUGAUGUAGUUGCAAGAUUUAUCAAGAUCUCGUUUGAAAAUGAGACCAGACAGCUACUCCUUUGUGAAGUCCAAAUAUUUGGAGAUUGUCUCCCGGAUGUGUGCGGGUUUGACUGUGUAGAUGUUUGUCACUGCAGGAAUUCUAAUUCAGAAAUUAAAAUGUCUGGGAACUGUACUAAUGGCUGUCAAGACAAAUGGACAGGCGAAGGCAAGAAAUGCGACAGAGCUUCAUCUUGUACUGAACCUUCUGGUAUCUACAUGUCAGCUGUAGCAGUUGCAUUAACAUCAAUCGGAGCCAUUGCUCUAAUUGUCGGAAGUGUUUGUAUCACCAUAUUUGUUAUGAAAAGAAGACAAACAAGCAGUGAUACUUCGAAGAACAGUUCCGGAAAAAAACAGGCAGAUCAGACCCGACCAGGACAGUUGAACAGACUUAAAAAGAGGGUGCUUGAUGUAUAUUACAAUACUAAUCUUAGGCCGAAAAGUAUGUUUAGAGACCGAUCCUGAACCGGACCAAGAACUUGAGGGUUAUAUGGAACUUGAUACACUUUCAAGAAAGCAAGGAAUUAGUGCACAGCUAGAGAGUUAUUCCAAGCUUCAAAAAAGUGCCAUAAAAGCUACAAAAAACAAACUACAUCCCAUUUCUUAAACAAUGCCGUUACGUGUUACGAUUAGUGAUUGUAAAUGUGUCAACUAUAAAGGGACAUUACUCACCAACCACUUAAUAGUUACUGAAGGAACUGUGAACUUUACAACUACAGAAACUUCGUUGUCAAACAUCACAAUUUUACAUGAUAUGAAGAACGUAACUAUUUACAAAACCAAUUUAAAAAUCUAUAAAACCGUGCACAGGAAAGCCGAAAUGUGUUUUUAUUCAAAGGUGAUCUUUAUUCAUAUUAAGUUAAACAUACCUGGUGCAAACGUUUAACUUGUGAUCCUGAGGUCGUGCUAGUCUCUACGCUUGUGACGUUGUGUUCAGAUUUGACAAUCAUUGUCAUCGAGUAUAGGUUAGAAUGUAUUAAAUGCCUCCACUGCUAUUUUCUAUAUAAAUAUCAAUUUAUAACAUGUUUUAUCAGCAUUUCUAGCCUUUCACUUCUACCCUUGUGUUGAAGGUCUGUCAUAAGGCAUUCAAAACAUACCAAAAAGAUAUGGCGUUUACUAUAAUGCAAUGAAAUCAUGGCCACGUGACUGAGACACGUGAUGAAAACGAUAAAAUGGCGAAAGUAGAGAUCAGGAAAUACUUACUUUCACCUUCAUUUUACCCAACAGCUUCGAUGUAACUUCAUUCGCAGACAUUAAAGCUUUCAUCUGGCAUGAAAAUGGCCUUUACUGGGCGGGAAAAUGACGUUGUAUAUUAAUUGGGACAACAUUCGAGUGGACAUCCAGCGAAUUACUACCUUCGUACCUAUAAGUGAUACAUGUAUAUUAGCACUCUUACAAUAAAAAGUACUGAUAAAAUGUACAUACUAGUAUCAAUUUAUCUCUUUAUGAUAAUAUUUGUUAUCAUUGUCGUUUUAUUUUUAUCCUUGAUCUGCCAGCGCAUGUAACAAAGCUCUUAUUUUUGUAAAGUCAUGGUUUUCUUUUUAAGGAGGAUUUAGCAGUUUUAUUUUUACUCUAUUAUUUUUAUCUACUGAUGUACUUUUUUUGUGACUGAUGUAUUGUAUUGGCCUUUUUGUUUAAUCAUUUUAGAUUAUUGGUUUAACUUUGCGAACUAAUUUAUAGUUACGUAGUAAUAUAUUUGGCUAUUGAAAGUGUACGGAGGAGAGUACGGUGUCUAUAUUUCGCAACUUUGCAUGAGCUUGCUCAAAGUAAGAGGAUUUUAAUGAUAGAAAUCUACAUAUUACCAAAUAAUUAUUACAACAGGGUUACCGAUAAUUAUACACUACGGAAGGUUUUCACUAAAUUUUACUACAGAUCGUCCGAACUUUUAAAGAAAUAUAACACAAACCUUAUAAUACUUCUAAAACUUGGUCUUACACACCCGGUAUGCUAUGUAGAUGUAGUUUUUAAAAUUCGAAAACUUAAACAUAAUGCUUAUUUAAUCAAAUAUUUGUAAAAUGUGUCAAACAAUUUUUCAAAAGAGGAUACAAUACGAAAAUCGUGAAGCACAGUGCAUGUUUGGUGAUUGACCCCUCUUCAGUUGAUCGCAACGCUUUCCUAUUUGAUGGUGCGAUUACUAAUAAAGUGUAAGACUCCUUGAUGCUUUUCUCCUAAAUCAUACAAAAACGGACGGAUAGAGUGGAUGCCCUAAACGCGUUUAAACCCCCAGUUUCCUUUUCAUAAGUUACUGACCGUUCCAAGGCGGUGUUCCUAUUUUAGACUUGUUUUCUGUCCGUCUCGUACUUUGUGUUGCGUAAGUUUCCUUCUUUCUUGUUAGUGUUUCUUUUCUCUUUCUCCUCACUACCCCUAUUACCCCCCUCGCCCCAUCCCAUCCCUUUCCCUUGCAUUUACGCUUCCUUGCUUUUGCUGCCUCUCUAUUUACCACAAGUAAGUUAUCGUGCCCACCAUUAUUUUGUCCGACGUCCGUCCUUGGGUGGUGCCCGACUGUUUUUUUUUCCUGCUUAUGUAUGUGAAUGUGUGCGUGUAAGUGUGUGUUUGUCUUGGGCGGUGCACUACAGUGUUGUUUUUUCUUACUUGUCAGUUUUUCUCUGUGUGUUAGUUGUGUGUGUGUUGAGGGGUGGGGGGGGGGGGAGUAUUUGUCUUUUGUGCGUAUCUGCGAUGUUGUAGGAAUACUGCGUUUAAGGAACGUGACUUUUCCUGUUGAAUAUUCAUCCUUGCUCCCCCUUCCCCCACUUCCCCCAACAGCCGACCCUUUUAUCUACCCCUUACCACCCACCCUAUUUUUUCUGUAUUUGGCAUAUAUCUAUAAUGUACUUGUUUUUGGAGUUUUGAAGCAACCCGUGUACAAUUUUUUCCGUUACAGCUUCUUUUAAUUGUGGGCCGACUUUGCGAUGCAUGGCUCUAUGACUGUGUUUGGGGUGUUCUGUGCUUCCGGGAAAUCUACACUUACAUUUUGUUCUCAAUAUACAGAUGGUAACUAUAUAAUCAGAGUUUAUUUACAGUUUUGUAUUUUCGUUUUACAUUUGUAUUGCAUGCUUUUAAAGUAAUAAAUAUCUGAAACAAUAAAAUCGUCGCCUUCCGCGGACAAGUUAGGGGAAAUUCAUGUUCUGACGUGAUAUAUUAUAACUCAGUAUUGAGUGUUGCCACCUAGUGAAAUGUUCUUGCUUUGAGUUUCAGCAUUCUUUGGUAAUAGUGUACAUCAGUUGUAUAAAAAUCUAAGGAAAAGUAUACAAACAUCUUAAAUAUUCAUUAUUUCAAGUGUAAAAAAGCAUAAUACGGCAAAUCGACUUAAAUAGUGUAAGCACACGAAACUCGGAUAAAUUUUGCAGAUAUGUAGAAGCUUCAUGUAUCAAUAAAUUUGAACUGAA
Mercenaria mercenaria is the source of this 4460-nucleotide RNA transcript. RefSeq lists it as uncharacterized. The transcript has 13 exons. NCBI's taxonomy places the organism in Eukaryota, Metazoa, Mollusca, Bivalvia, Venerida, Veneridae. The record is from RefSeq and is a predicted model, not a curated record.